This 426-nucleotide ribosomal RNA is filed under the name uncultured cyanobacterium. RNAcentral's name for it is "bacterial SSU rRNA". It matches the Rfam family "Bacterial small subunit ribosomal RNA", at positions 356 to 796 of the family's 1533-position model. Lineage: Bacteria; Bacillati; Cyanobacteriota. The record is from RNAcentral.
GGGGAAUUUUCCGCAAUGGGCGCAAGCCUGACGGAGCAAUACCGCGUGAGGGAGGAAGGCUUUUGGGUUGUAAACCUCUUUUCUCAAGGAAGAACAAAAUGACGGUACUUGAGGAAUCAGCAUCGGCUAACUCCGUGCCAGCAGCCGCGGUAAUACGGAGGAUGCAAGCGUUAUCCGGAAUUAUUGGGCGUAAAGCGUCCGCAGGUGGUUAUUCAAGUCUGCUGUCAAAGACCACAGCUUAACUGUGGGCAGGCAGUGGAAACUGGGUAACUAGAGUACGGUAGGGGUAGAGGGAAUUCCCAGUGUAGCGGUGAAAUGCGUAGAGAUUGGGAAGAACACCGGUGGCGAAAGCGCUCUACUGGGCCAUAACUGACACUGAGGGACGAAAGCUAGGGUAGCGAAAGGGAUUAGAUACCCCUGUAGUCA